RNAcentral lists this transfer RNA (73 nucleotides) under Mrakia frigida. RNAcentral's name for it is "tRNA-Tyr (GTA) (tRNA-Tyr-GTA-1-1)". It matches the Rfam family "tRNA". From Rfam's summary of the family: Transfer RNA (tRNA) molecules are approximately 80 nucleotides in length. Their secondary structure includes four short double-helical elements and three loops (D, anti-codon, and T loops). Further hydrogen bonds mediate the characteristic L-shaped molecular structure. tRNAs have two regions of fundamental functional importance: the anti-codon, which is responsible for specific mRNA codon recognition, and the 3' end, to which the tRNAs corresponding amino acid is attached (by aminoacyl-tRNA synthetases). tRNAs cope with the degeneracy of the genetic code in two manners: having more than one tRNA (with a specific anti-codon) for a particular amino acid; and 'wobble' base-pairing, i.e. permitting non-standard base-pairing at the 3rd anti-codon position. The record is from RNAcentral. Lineage: Eukaryota; Fungi; Basidiomycota; Tremellomycetes; Cystofilobasidiales; Mrakiaceae.
CUCAGCUUAGCUCAUCUGGUAGAGCGUUGGUUUGUAACACCGAAGGUACACGGUUCGAUCCCGUGAGCUGAGA